UACCGUGAGGGAAAGUUGAAAAGUACUUUGAAGAGAGAGUAAACAGUACGUGAAACCGCAUGCAGGUAAACGGGUGGCGUCAAGCUGCAAUCCUGGAGAAUUCAGCCGGCUAGUGUGUCGUGAAUGCGCCUGUGCAUCAUCAGUCGGUGUAAGAUGUGAUAGUCUACCGGGCAACGGUAGGCCGGGCCGCAAGGUUCGGUUAUGUGUACCGGGUGGAAGCCGGAGCAUGCUAUUCAUCUGUUGGACUGGCUAGCCGGUGCACUUUCUCUAUGGUGAACACCACGAUCGGUGGAAUUGCCAGUCUGCUGUAGUCAAGUCGUAUUCGAUGGGUUCUUGUAAUUCAUUGGGUGCGAUCACAGGCAAUGUCAGUACACGGCGUAGAGGUGUCUCCACAUCACUGCGUGUUAUCGGUUACUGCUUGUCAACGGGCCUGCCUAGUGGUUGUUGUAAUCGCCGCUGGGUGGCUUGGUGGACUACAGUGGUAAGAAUAACUGUGCAAGGCACCGGGGAUGUCGGCCUCAAUUGCACUCCGCAUACACAUUACAAGUGGUGUGGGGUGCCAUCGCUGCCUGCUUACUGUUGAGUCUGAUUGUCGUGUCGCCUGCACAAAGUAGGUCCGGCAGUGGCUUGAUGUAAGGUGGGUAGUUGGUGGUGCUCCGCGUGUAGAGUGUGGUGGGCCAAGUAAUCAGUGGUGCAGUGGUAGACGAGCUACCCGACCCGUCUUGAAACACGGACCAAGGAGUUCAACAUGUAUGCGAGUCAAUGGGUCCUACGAAACCCAAAGGCGCAGUGAAAGUAAAGCUUCGACAUGUUCUCGGAGUGAGGUGAGAUCCUGCCGUAUCGCAUCAGCCUAUCAGGCUAAGAGCGGUGGGCGCAUCACCGGCCCGUCCCAUGAUGUGGCCGCUGGC
Molecule: ribosomal RNA, 908 nt
Filed under: Duplicibothrium minutum
Lineage: Eukaryota; Metazoa; Platyhelminthes; Cestoda; Tetraphyllidea; Serendipidae
Description: partial 28S ribosomal RNA
Rfam family: Eukaryotic large subunit ribosomal RNA
Source: RNAcentral